AUUGAACGCUGGCGGAAUGCUUUACACAUGCAAGUCGAACGGCAGCGCGGGGGCAGCCCUGGUGGCGAGUGGCGAACGGGUGAGUAAUACAUCGGAACGUGCCCGGUCGUGGGGGAUAACGUAGCGAAAGUUACGCUAAUACCGCAUACGAUCUGAGGAUGAAAGCGGGGGACCUUCGGGCCUCGCGCGAUCGGAGCGGCCGAUGUCAGAUUAGGUAGUUGGUGGGGUAAAGGCCUACCAAGCCGACGAUCUGUAGCUGGUCUGAGAGGACGACCAGCCACACUGGGACUGAGACACGGCCCAGACUCCUACGGGAGGCAGCAGUGGGGAAUUUUGGACAAUGGGCGCAAGCCUGAUCCAGCCAUGCCGCGUGCAGGACGAAGGCCUUCGGGUUGUAAACUGCUUUUGUACGGAACGAAAAGGCUCUGGCUAAUACCUGGGGCUCAUGACGGUACCGUAAGAAUAAGCACCGGCUAACUACGUG
RNAcentral lists this ribosomal RNA (484 nucleotides) under uncultured bacterium. Its description in RNAcentral is "partial 16S ribosomal RNA". It matches the Rfam family "Bacterial small subunit ribosomal RNA", at positions 29 to 507 of the family's 1533-position model. The record is from RNAcentral.